GACGAACGCUGGCGGCGUGCUUAACACAUGCAAGUCGAACGGAAAGGCCCUGCUUUUGCGGGGUGCUCGAGUGGCGAACGGGUGAGUAACACGUGAGUAACCUGCCCUUGACUUUGGGAUAACUUCAGGAAACUGGGGCUAAUACCGGAUAUGAUCUCCUGCUGCAUGGUGGGGGUUGGAAAGUUUCGGCGGUUGGGGGUGGACUCGCGGCUUAUCAGCUUGUUGGUGGGGUAGUGGCUUACCAAGGCUUUGACGGGUAGCCGGCCUGAGAGGGUGACCGGCGACAUUGGGACUGAGAUACGGCCGAGACACCGACGGGAGGGAGAAGGGGGGAAGAUUGAACAAGGGGCGGAGGGCGGAUGAAGCAACGCCGCGUGCGGGAUGACGGCCUUCGGGUUGUAGACCGCAUUCGCUCAUGACGAAGCAUUGUGUGACGGUAGUGGGUAAAGAAGCACCGGCUAACUACGUG
RNAcentral lists this ribosomal RNA (469 nucleotides) under uncultured bacterium. Its description in RNAcentral is "partial 16S ribosomal RNA". It matches the Rfam family "Bacterial small subunit ribosomal RNA", at positions 28 to 507 of the family's 1533-position model. The record is from RNAcentral.